Long non-coding RNA from Eucalyptus grandis, 2406 nucleotides. RefSeq lists it as uncharacterized. The record is from RefSeq and is a predicted model, not a curated record. The transcript is spliced from 7 exons. NCBI's taxonomy places the organism in Eukaryota, Viridiplantae, Streptophyta, Magnoliopsida, Myrtales, Myrtaceae.
CGACACCAAUGGGUAAAAUUCAGAACAUAUAAUUUCUGAUAGAGGAGGGGGAGGAUGAUUCACCUAAUUAACAGGAAGCUUCUUCGCGCGGUGAGACCUCGCGACCCAAUCAGCCGCUCGAUUUGCUUCGCGUGGAGCAUAUAAGACCUGGACUAGAUUGCAAAGAUUCAUCAUGUCUCGGCACCUUUCAGCAAUUUCCUUUAAAUUCCAUGGGGGUUCGGCCCGGCCCAACACCAUCUCAACUAAAAUCAGAUUGUCACUUUCGCAUACCCAUCUAACUGGUUGAGUCGAGAAGUGCUUCACGUGGGAAUCAGCUUUUUCCUUCAAGUACUUCAACCCGUGCAAGAGAGAGAGGGCUUCGGCUUGGGUGGGUGAGGACGCCCUAGCUUCACCAGCAAAACCCGCAACCACCAUCCCCUUCGAGUUGCGGAUGAUUCCGGCGAUUGAGCAGAAGAAAUCUCCUGGGAACCACGCUGCGUCGACGUUAAGCUUCAGCGCAUCCCCCUCCGGCGGCUUCCAUUGACGAGGUCGACCAGAUCUGCUGUUUGAGGGGGUUUUGCUCUGAAGAUAAAAUCGUUUCGGGAUUUCCAGAUGUUCCACAGUACUGUUGCGACAAGUUCUUGCUCCGGUGGUGUAAAACUUCCUAGACAAUGAGGAUAUUAUCUUGAAUUUGACGUCCUUUGACAAAAGCCCCCUGUUCAGGCUCAAUGAUUGCUGGGAGGAUUUUUUUAUCUUCGGUAUCAAGGAUUGGUGGUAGAACAGGCCAUUGAUACCGUCGGGACCAGGAGCUUUGAGAGACCCCAGCUGGAAGACUGCUGUCUUCACUUCUUCCAUGGGUGUAACACAAGGAGAAGGGGACUAUGAUCUGAUCCAAUUGCUGGAAGGGCCUGUACUUCUGCAUCAUAGAAGGUAGGGGUGUUGCUAAAGCCACCUUCAUCUCUGGUUGCUGUUUCCAUGGUCUGUGCUGGGGAAAGGUUUUCUGGUACUGUUUCCUCUACUAUGUACUCUUCAAUGUUCCCAUAAAACGCUGCCCAAUGUGGACUGUGGUCACUAGCUUCCGCCUUUAACCAGGGGCCAAAUUUACCAGUCUUGUUCAUUGACCAUGGAGAUUCAUUAUAGGGGAUAAUAGCACAGUUAGUUGCAUAAUGACCGAUUCUUCCGCACGAGUAACAGUAGUGUGGCAAACGUUCAUAUUUGAAUUCCACCCACAACCAUUUGGUACCAAUAUCCAGUAUGGCCCCUGAUUUUAAUGGGGCUGUUAAGUCCAGAUCCACUUUAACCCGACCUCCUUUGUAUUGUCCUGUCCCCUGGGAUUCCACCUGAACUUCUAACACUUGCCCUAUUUUCUUUGCUAGGUCUUGAAGACCUCUUCUGUUCGCCAACCGGGAGGGAUACCUCCAAGCCGAACCUAGAAAGCAGUGCUGGUAAAGUCAUAGCAAUGUUCCGGGAUGUCAGGUACGCAUUGUUUUAGCACGAGUAAAUUACUGGAAAAAGACCAUGGUCCAGUUCGUAGAACUCUCUCCUUUUCCUCUUCUGAUUGAAACACAAAGGUAAAAAAACCUGGCUCUUUCUGGAUACCGAUCACAGAAUCUGAUCUCCACGCUUUCUUCAUGGUAGUCAGAAAAGCAGGGAAGUUGACAUUUGGUUUUGAAAAUAGUUUUCCGAAUAAGGUGCGGUUGCAUUCUGCCCUCUUUUGUGGUGAAAUAGUUGUGGUAGCUUCAACUAUGUCCCCCUCAGACCACAAGUCUCCCAGGCUUUUACAGAGUGCCGCUAAUCUCAACUCAUUUUCUUCUUUCCCUUCCAUAGUAACUUGUUAAAACAGGGGGAGGAGACUCACAGACUUACUAGGGCAGACUUUAGAGAAGGAUGGGUGCAGAACUGUUUGGGGGAUAGAUUGAAGGGAGCUCGGGAUGAAGAAACCCAGAAACCAAGGGUAAGGGAAGACUGGAUAAUAGCCCUACCACCUUUAGGGAGUUCACCAUCAGCAGAAGAUCUGGAGAUUCAACAACCACACCUUUGCAAGGAUUCCUCCAUCGUAAAUCAUCUAAUGAAGCUGGUUUUGAAGAGCGAGGCACACAGAACCCUUACGAGGCCCCCACCAUCAGGAUCCCUGGAGCAAGUUAAUUUCGCAGAGAGGAGCACUAACGACUGCUCCAUUGGACUGAAUCAUCAUAGAUCGGCAUCAUUUCAAGGCAGAAUGAAGCUUUUUUUUUUUUUUUUUUUUUUAGGGUUUUGCUAGAUAGGAAAGUGGUAAGUAGCGAUCAAAAGGAAAGGAUCGAAAGAAGCAUGAUGAAGAAAAGGAGAUGCAGAGAGCACCUUAGUCGAUUAGGGUUUUCUGGAAACAAAGGGGCUACCAUACUGGUAGAUCAGUCCUCGCGGAAGUUUUGGAGAGAAGGAAGCUACCAU